Molecule: ribosomal RNA, 567 nt
Filed under: Incilius coniferus (green climbing toad)
Lineage: Eukaryota; Metazoa; Chordata; Amphibia; Anura; Bufonidae
Description: partial 16S ribosomal RNA
Rfam family: Bacterial large subunit ribosomal RNA
Source: RNAcentral
CGCCUCUUGAAUUUCUAUAAGAGGUCCAGCCUGCCCAGUGACCAUGUUCAACGGCCGCGGUAUCCUAACCGUGCGAAGGUAGCGUAAUCACUUGUUCUUUAAAUGUGGACUAGUAUGAACGGCACCACGAGGGUUAUGCUGUCUCCUUUUUCUAAUCAGUGAAACUAAUCUCCCCGUGAAGAAGCGGGAAUAAGACUAUAAGACGAGAAGACCCUAUGGAGCUUUAAACAACAUAGCACUUGCCACACAAUAUGAAAAUUUCCGAAAAUUUUAAUUAAUUUGACAACUUGACUAUAAGUUUUUGGUUGGGGUGACCACGGAGCAUAAAAUAACCUCCACGAUGAAUAGAAUUAUUUCUAAACUAAGACCUUCAGGUCUAAGUAUCAAUAUAUUGACAUCCAUUGAUCCAAUAUAUUUGAACAACGAACCAAGUUACCCUAGGGAUAACAGCGCAAUCCACUUCAAGAGCUCCUAUCGACAAGUGGGUUUACGACCUCGAUGUUGGAUCAGGGUGUCCCAGUGGUGCAGCCGCUACUAAAGGUUCGUUUGUUCAACGAUUAAAACCCU